AUCGCUUCUCGGCCUUUUGGCUAAGAUCAAGUGUAGUAUCUGUUCUUAUCAGUUUAAAAAUAAGCAAUGGCAAAAAUAAAUAUUCUCAGAUGAGGAUUAACAUAUAUGUUAAUAGAAAUAAAGUUGCUACUUCUU
This 135-nucleotide small nuclear RNA is filed under the name Myotis brandtii (Brandt's bat). Its description in RNAcentral is "U2 spliceosomal RNA". It matches the Rfam family "U2 spliceosomal RNA". From Rfam's summary of the family: U2 is a small nuclear RNA (snRNA) component of the spliceosome (involved in pre-mRNA splicing). Complementary binding between U2 snRNA (in an area lying towards the 5' end but 3' to hairpin I) and the branchpoint sequence (BPS) of the intron results the bulging out of an unpaired adenosine, on the BPS, which initiates a nucleophilic attack at the intronic 5' splice site, thus starting the first of two transesterification reactions that mediate splicing. The record is from Rfam by way of RNAcentral. Lineage: Eukaryota; Metazoa; Chordata; Mammalia; Chiroptera; Vespertilionidae.